This 339-nucleotide ribosomal RNA is filed under the name gamma proteobacterium NAD-A10. RNAcentral describes it as "bacterial SSU rRNA". It matches the Rfam family "Bacterial small subunit ribosomal RNA", at positions 45 to 390 of the family's 1533-position model. Lineage: Bacteria; Pseudomonadati; Pseudomonadota; Gammaproteobacteria. The record is from RNAcentral.
GGCUACCAUGCAGUCGAGCGGAGCGAGGGUGCUUGCACCUUAGCUUAGCGGCGGACGGGUGAGUAAUGCUUAGGAAUCUGCCUAUUAGUGGGGGACAACAUUCCGAAAGGGAUGCUAAUACCGCAUACGCCCUACGGGGGAAAGCAGGGGAUCUUCGGACCUUGCGCUAAUAGAUGAGCCUAAGUCGGAUUAGCUAGUUGGUGGGGUAAAGGCCUACCAAGGCGACGAUCUGUAGCGGGUCUGAGAGGAUGAUCCGCCACACUGGGACUGAGACACGGCCCAUACUCCUACGGGAGGCACCCCUGGGGAAUAUUGAACAAUGGGUGGAACCCUGGUCCC